Molecule: ribosomal RNA, 253 nt
Filed under: uncultured bacterium
Lineage: Bacteria
Description: partial 16S ribosomal RNA
Rfam family: Bacterial small subunit ribosomal RNA
Source: RNAcentral
UACGAAGGGGGCUAGCGUUGUUCGGAAUUACUGGGCGUAAAGCGCACGUAGGCGGGUCGUUAAGUCAGGGGUGAAAUCCCAGAGCUCAACUCUGGAACUGCCUUUGAUACUGGCGACCUAGAGUCCGGAAGAGGUUAGUGGAAUUCCCAGUGUAGAGGUGAAAUUCGUAGAUAUUGGGAAGAACACCAGUGGCGAAGGCGGCUAACUGGUCCGGUACUGACGCUGAGGUGCGAAAGCGUGGGGAGCGAACAGG